RNAcentral lists this ribosomal RNA (1242 nucleotides) under metagenome. Its description in RNAcentral is "bacterial LSU rRNA". It matches the Rfam family "Bacterial large subunit ribosomal RNA", at positions 1564 to 2815 of the family's 2925-position model. The record is from RNAcentral.
UGAGUACGAGAUGCUACGGCGUCGAAGCAGUCUAUGUCAUACUUCCAAGAAAAGCUUGCACUGUCAUAAACAAAGAAUGCCUGUACCAUAACCGACACAGGUGGGUAGGUAGAGUAUACUAAGGGGCGCGAGAUAACUCUCUCUAAGGAACUCGGCAAAAUGACUCCGUAACUUCGGGAGAAGGAGUGCCUUAUUUUUAAGGUUGCAAUAACAAGAUCCAAGCAACUGUUUACCAAAAACACAGGUCUCCGCUAAGUCGUAAGACGAUGUAUGGGGGCUGACGCCUGCCCAGUGCCAGAAGGUUAAAGAAGUUGGUUAGCAUUCGCGAAGCUGAUAACUGAAGCCCUGGUGAACGGCGGCCGUAACAAUAACGGUCCUAAGGUAGCGAAAUUCCUUGUCGGGUAAGUUCCGACCCGCACGAAAGGCGUAAUGAUUUGGAUACUGUCUCGGAGAGGGGCUCGGUGAAAUAGACUUGUCUGUGAAGAUGCGGACUACCUGCACCUGGACAGAAAGACCCUAUGAAGCUUUACUGUAACUUGAGAUUGAAAUUGGACUUUAUUUGCGCUGUAUAGGUGGGAGGCGUUGAGAAUAAUCUUGCGGGAUUAUGGGAGCCAUCAGUGAGAUACCACUCUUGUAAUGUUAGAUUUCUAACUUUGUAUCAUUAUCUGGUCAAAGAACAGUUUCAGGCGGGCAGUUUGACUGGGGCGGUCGCCUCCCAAAGGGUAACGGAGGCGCACAAAGGUUUCCUCUGAACGGGUAGAAAUCGUAUCUAGAGUGUAAAGGCAUAAGGAAGCUUGACUGUGAGACCUACAAGUCGAGCAGGGACGAAAGUCGGUCUUAGUGAUCUGACGGUGCUGAGUGGAAAGGCCGUCACUCAACGGAUAAAAGUUACUCUAAGGAUAACAGGCUGAUCUCCCCCAAGAGUUCACAUCGACGGGGAGGUUUGGCACCUCGAUGUCGGCUCAUCGCAUCCUGGGGCGGUAGUACGUCCCAAGGGUUGGGCUGUUCGCCCAUGAAAGCGGUACGCGAGCUGGGUUCAGAACGUCGUGAGACAGUUCGGUCCAUAUCCGGUGUAGGCGUUAGAAUAUUGAAAGGAGCCUUCUCUAGUACGAGAGGACCGAGAAGGACAUACCUCUGGUGUACCAGUUAUCGUGCCAACGGUAAACGCUGGGUAGCUAUGUAUGGAGUGGAUAACCGCUGAAAGCAUCUAAGUGGGAAGCCCACCUUAAGAUAAGUAUUCUC